Molecule: non-coding RNA, 212 nt
Organism: Salvia hispanica
Lineage: Eukaryota; Viridiplantae; Streptophyta; Magnoliopsida; Lamiales; Lamiaceae
Source: RefSeq, a predicted model, not a curated record
AAAUAGUCCGUGAUCAGUAUAAUUCAGCCGAAAAAUAAGCGUCAAUAGUUGGAAAUCUUCUUCGAUUACUCUCAGACUGGAAUGGCGACGGAAGGGCAGAAGCCAUCAGCUGAGGAAGUAAAGACCGAUCUAUUUGAAGAUGACGACGAGUUUGAGGAGUUCGAAAUUGAUCGAGUGUGUGAGGAUUUGGCCGAUUGGGAUGAGCAAAACGG